RNAcentral lists this long non-coding RNA (1157 nucleotides) under Homo sapiens (human). RNAcentral describes it as "HSALNT0339087". Lineage: Eukaryota; Metazoa; Chordata; Mammalia; Primates; Hominidae. The record is from RNAcentral.
GAGCUGCGAGGGAGGAUGGGAGGUUCAGAGUAGGAGGAGCAGCAGCAGCUGGACUGGCCUCCCACUUCCCACCCUCUGAGGGCUGCCAUAGGGGCUUCCCGAGCAAAAGCACCCAUCAGGUGCUGGGAUAAAGCCCGGAGCAGGAGGAGACUGCAGGAGAAGCCAGAUCAUCCGAGUCACCGGGUGCUGAGCCAGCGCCUCCUGGGGUCAAUCGAGACUCAAGACUUGGAACACUACUCGUGCAGAAGCCAGCAAGGUCUCCUUGGAGAGCGGUGAGUUCACCAGGGCUGCCCUGGGCAGAGUGAGCUGGUGCUGAGAGAACUGCAACUGUGACAGCCUAGGGGCCAGACGCUGGACACGUGGCUGUGAUGAAUGGCAUAGAUGAGAGACCGCCACACCUCGCCUCACCCGCCUCCCUCCACACCUGCUUGCGUGCCCACCUCCUCGUAGUCGUUCUCCGGGGUCAGGAAAUCAUCCACGAUGGUGACCCGGGGGCCCAGCUGCUCGCUCAGCACGUCCAGGAAGCGGAGAAACCAGGCCAUACAGAGAUAGGAGCUGAAGGGACACGGUGAGAAGUGACCAAAAGACAAGAGUGUGAGCCCUCCGUUAUGCCUGGACAGGGCCACUAGAGGGCUCCCUGGUCUACUGGUAACGCCAGUGCCUGGGAAGGCACCCGUUGCUUAGCAGACCGGGAAAGGGAGUCUCCCUUUCCUGGUGGAGUUAAAGAAGACUCUGCUCCACCACUGCUUGCCCGCCCGCAGCCACCCAGAGGCCUAACGCUGUCCCUGUGAUGCUGUGCUUCAGUGGUCACGCUCCUGGUCCGCAUUCAUGUUCUGCCCUGUGCACUCGGCUCCACCUUCUAGAUAGCAGCAGCAGAAUUAGUGAAAGUACUAAAGUCUUUAAAAUGCAUAGAAGAAAUAAUUACGUAAGCUGUCCCCUCUUUCUCUCCGCCUCAGCUACCAAAUAGGGAAGGGCCCCCUGUCUGGCGGACACGUGACUCACAUGACCUUACCUAUCAUUGGAGAUGACUCUCACUCCAUACCCUGCCCCUUUGCCUUGUACACAAUAAAUAACAGCACGGCCAGGCAUUCGGGGCCACUACUGGUCUCCGCGUCUUGGUGGUAGUGGUCCCCCGGGCCCAGCUGUCUUUUCUUCUA